Molecule: ribosomal RNA, 305 nt
Filed under: uncultured bacterium
Lineage: Bacteria
Description: bacterial SSU rRNA
Rfam family: Bacterial small subunit ribosomal RNA
Source: RNAcentral
UCCUACGGGAUGCAGCAGUAGCAAAUUUUCGUCAAUGGACGCAAGCCUGAACGAGCAAUGCCGCGUGAACGAGGAAGGUCUUCGGAUCGUAAAGUUCUGUUGAAGGGGAAAAAGAGCGGAGAGAGGAAAUGGUCUCCGAUUGAUAUUACCCUUCGAGGAAGUCACGGCUAACUACGUGCCAGCAGCCGCGGUAAUAUGUAGGUGGCGAGCGUUAUCCGGAAUGAUUGGGCGUAAAGGGUGCGUAGGCGGCCUGCUAAGUCUGGAGUGAAAGGUACCGGCUCAACCGGUACAGGCUAUGGAAACUG